UUUGUCAAUUCUCAUAUUUGGAAACAUAGAAAGUGAAAGAGUUCAAUUCUUUGAACUUAAAAAAAUGAAUGAUUUUAAAAGAAAUAGAAAUCAUACCAAGUAAUUCAAUUCAAUUCUUUUCUUACAUAUGAUUUGUUUUAAAGGAAGCCUAUACGUAUUUACUUUCUUGUUCAAAUGCGGGAUGUUUUAUGAUUGCAAAGGACCAUGUAAUUGCUACUCCAGAUUUCAUUGAAAUCCCAGUAAAGACUGAAAGUGGGUUUACAUUUUUGGUGUUUACAUCUUCAAGAAUUCCGAUUAAUAUGUAAUACCCAUAAGAUGGUUUGAUUUUCUUCCGUGGUGAAGAUCCUUUGACCCUUAGGAAUUGUCAUUUAUUUCUUUGUAUGAGAGACACUUGUUGCUCCGCAUUUUAGUAGACAGUUUUUUAGAUUUGGUUCUCUGAAACUUCAAUCAACAUUUAGAGGCCUCUAAUCAUAAAAGCUUAUGGGAAUAGCUUAUUCCUCUUCAUUAUCAUUUGCUAUGAGUUGAUUAUCUAACUUACAAUAUGGUUUGGAGAAUGUCUUGGUAUUUUGAUUGUUGCAUGACAUGCAAAUCCUAAUACUAUAAAUGUAAGCGCUCAAAUCAGCCUAGAUUAAGCUUUUUACCCUAGCAUUGGUGUGAAAAGUAUGAUGUAGAUCUGAAUAUGGAUGGUCAUUGUUUGGUUCAUCACCUUGUAGGUCAAAUGUGAAAACUGCUAGUUGUUGGAAAAACACAUUUGCAACUGGAUUUUUGUAGAAGGCCUAGCCAUUUUUAUGACCUGUUUGUUUGACUGAGAAUUGCGAUUUCUGUAAUCCUGCAGGGGCACGUGAAUUUGUAAGGGUAACACGGAAAUCUGAACCUGAUGAUCUAAUGAACUCUGCAAUUGCAGGGUUUGGUAGUGGUGCUCUUCUUGGACGUCUUCAAGGUUAAGUGCAGAUGCUAUUUUUUUCCCCAUGUAUUAUUUUGUAAAUAAUUUUGGAAUAUUUAAUUUGCAUUAGAUUUAAAGUUAGACAAUUUAGAUAGGGGCCAUAAAUGAGUAAGUUCAAUGCCUAAAACUAUCUUCUUUGGUUUCUCCCUUAUCAUGGAGUGGUAUUUUUCUCUGGCUUUACAUGUGGUUUUGUCUGUUUUAUGGUGAUCCAUCUAUAAGGUUGAAGGUUGAAAUCCUUGUUCCACCCAUAUAAUGGCAAAUCCCAAACAUUUUUUCUUGGAUAGGAUGAAUUCAUUGGAUUGGGAUAUAGACUGACAGGAUCUAGAUAUUGAAGUUCAACUGAGCUGGAACUCCCCGAUAAUAUCUAUUCAAGAUCAAAAUGAAGAAAGUAGUGGUUAUGUGGGUGUACAUUUAUUUCAUUUCAACUUGAUGCCUUUAAGCAAUGAAAAUCUUAGUUCAUCAUAUUUUACUUAUCUGCAUCUUCGUCUGUUUAAUCUCCCUUUGGCUGUUAUAGUUAAAAUGUUGGGUUUUUUUUGCCCUUGAUGUUUUAGGUGGUCAAUUCGGUGCCUUCCGUUACUCGAUCAUCUUUACUGUUGUGGGAACAAUGGUGGAUUUUGUUACGAUUAAGCUAAGACCCACAGUGACCAGCUUCAGAGAAUCCAUAUAUGGGGACAAAGAGAAGAAAGGUGGUUGGCUGAAGUUACCUGAGUGGUCUCCCAUUCAAGUACUUGAUGAGGAAGCUCUUGCUGCUAAAGAAGCUAGGGAAAAACAACUAUAUGCACAAAGAGCUCUUGGUAAAUUAAGCAAAGAAGAAUCUUGAGAAAACUCUUUUUAUUUGAACCUGAAUAUGUUGACUUAUAGUUACCAAUAAUAUAUUUGUUUGGCCUGCAAUUUUUUGGCUGAUUAGAAUUGGCUAGGAUGAAUUAAUUUUGAAGCUUUUUAUGAGGCAGGGAUUGUGUUUUCAACUUCUAUGUUCAUUACUAUACUAAUUGCUAUUUACCGGCAGAAGUGCUCGAGACAAUCUGGUUG
RNAcentral lists this unclassified non-coding RNA (1972 nucleotides) under Hevea brasiliensis (rubber tree). The record is from RNAcentral. Lineage: Eukaryota; Viridiplantae; Streptophyta; Magnoliopsida; Malpighiales; Euphorbiaceae.